RNAcentral lists this transfer RNA (74 nucleotides) under Camelus bactrianus (Bactrian camel). It matches the Rfam family "tRNA". Rfam says of the family: Transfer RNA (tRNA) molecules are approximately 80 nucleotides in length. Their secondary structure includes four short double-helical elements and three loops (D, anti-codon, and T loops). Lineage: Eukaryota; Metazoa; Chordata; Mammalia; Artiodactyla; Camelidae. The record is from Rfam by way of RNAcentral. RNAcentral also lists the same sequence under 1 other name.
GAGGUAAUAGCUCAGUGGUAGAGUAUGUGCCUACUAGCGAGCACAAGGUCCUGGGUUCAGUCCCCAAUACUUCC